Molecule: long non-coding RNA, 258 nt
Filed under: Ananas comosus (pineapple)
Lineage: Eukaryota; Viridiplantae; Streptophyta; Magnoliopsida; Poales; Bromeliaceae
Description: long non-coding RNA (ACOM_LNC038546)
Source: RNAcentral
AUAUAUUAUUAGAUGAAAUAUUUUUUUUGGAAAAAUAUUUCUGUAUAAUUUUAGCAGUUGGGACUUUUAGAGGGAUAUAUUUAUAAGGGCAAAAAUAUCAUUUCGCUUAUCUGCUGUUAAAAAAUAAAUAGUACGCUCUAAUGACAACAAACCAGAGGGACAAAUAUGAAUAUCAUUGAAUUUUUACCUAAAUAAAAAUAAAAAAAUUAAACAUUUUAGAAAUAUAUUUGUUAUUCAAUACCCUUAUUAAUUAUUUUC